RNAcentral lists this non-coding RNA (21 nucleotides) under Caenorhabditis elegans. Lineage: Eukaryota; Metazoa; Nematoda; Chromadorea; Rhabditida; Rhabditidae. The record is from RNAcentral.
UUUAGAAUUUUCAAAGAACCA